GUUCUUUUGUUUAUAUAAAAGAUCUGGCCUGCCCAAUGAAAAUUUAAUGGCUGCAGUAUUUUGACUGUACAAAGGUAGCAUAAUCAUUUGUCUUUUAAUUGAAGUCUGGAAUGAAUGGUUUGAUGAAAAAUUUACUUUCUUUAUUUUAAAUAAAUAAUUUAAUUUCUUAAUUAAAAAGUUAAGAUAUUAAUAUAGGACGAGAAGACCCUAUAGAACUUUAUUUCGAUAAAAAAAUAGAAUUUUGUUAAUGAGUUUUUGUCUUUUUUUAAGAAUUUUGUUGGGGUGACAGAAAAAAAUUUUUAACUUUUUUUUAUUUUUUCAUUAAUUUAUGAUUUUUUUCGAUCCUUUAUUAUGGAUAGUAAGACUAAGUUACCUUAGGGAUAACAGCGUUAUUAUUUUAGAGAGUUCAUAUUGAUAAAAUAGUUUGCGACCUCGAUGUUGGAUUAAAAUAAGUUUCAGGAGUAGAAUAUUGAGUAUCUAGGUCUGUUCGACCUUUAAAUUUUUACA
RNAcentral lists this ribosomal RNA (507 nucleotides) under Pilophorus juniperi. RNAcentral describes it as "partial 16S ribosomal RNA". The stretch from base 380 to 507 matches the Rfam family "Bacterial large subunit ribosomal RNA", at positions 2473 to 2600 of the family's 2925-position model. Lineage: Eukaryota; Metazoa; Arthropoda; Insecta; Hemiptera; Miridae. The record is from RNAcentral.